CCUACGGGAGGCAGCAGUGAGGAAUAUUGGUCAAUGGCCGGGAGACUGAACCAGCCAAGUCGCGUGAGGGAAGACGGCCCUGCGGGUUGUAAACCUCUUUUGUCAGGGAGCAAGGUGCAGGUCGGGACCUGCUGUGAGAGUACCUGAAGAAAAAGCAUCGGCUAACUCCGUGCCAGCAGCCGCGGUAAUACGGAGGAUGCGAGCGUUAUCCGGAUUUAUUGGGUUUAAAGGGAGCGUAGAUGGGUUGUUAAGUCAGUUGUGAAAGUUUGCGGCGCAACCGUAAAAUUGCAAUUGAUACUGGCAGUCUGGAGUAGAGUUGAGGUAGGCGGAAUUCGUGGUGUAGCGGUGAAAUGCUGAGAUAUCACGAAGAACUCCGAUUGCGAAGGCAGCAUACCAAAUGGACACUGACACUGAGGCUCGAAAGUGUGGGUAUCAAACAGGAUUAGAUACCCCUGUAGUC
RNAcentral lists this ribosomal RNA (460 nucleotides) under uncultured bacterium. Its description in RNAcentral is "partial 16S ribosomal RNA". It matches the Rfam family "Bacterial small subunit ribosomal RNA", at positions 338 to 795 of the family's 1533-position model. The record is from RNAcentral.